AUUGAACGCUGGCGGCAGGCCUAACACAUGCAAGUCGAACGGUAAAAGGAAGCAGCUUGCUGCUUUGCUGACGAGUGGCGGAGGGGUGGGUAAUGUCGGGGAAACUGCCUGAUGGAGGGGGAUAACUACUGGAAACGGUAGCUAAUACCGCAUAACGUCGCAAGCCCAAGGAGGGGGACCUUCGGGCCUCUUGCCAUCGGAUGUGCCCGGAUGGGAUUAGCUAGUAGGGGGGGUAACGGCUCACCUGGGCGACGAUCCCUAGCUGGUCUGAGAGGAUGACCAGCCACACUGGAACUGAGACACGGUCCAGACUCCUACGGGAGGCAGCAGUGGGGAAUAUUGCACAAUGGGCGCAAGCCUGAUGCAGCCAUGCCGCGUGUAUGAAGAAGGCCUUCGGGUUGUAAAGUACUUUCAGCGGGGAGGAAGGGAGUAAAGUUAAUACCUUUGCUAAUUGACGUUACCCGCAGAAGAAGCACCGGCUAACUCCGUG
This 490-nucleotide ribosomal RNA is filed under the name uncultured bacterium. Its description in RNAcentral is "partial 16S ribosomal RNA". It matches the Rfam family "Bacterial small subunit ribosomal RNA", at positions 30 to 507 of the family's 1533-position model. The record is from RNAcentral.